Molecule: ribosomal RNA, 512 nt
Filed under: Glaphyromorphus mjobergi (Atherton tableland skink)
Lineage: Eukaryota; Metazoa; Chordata; Lepidosauria; Squamata; Scincidae
Description: partial 16S ribosomal RNA
Rfam family: Bacterial large subunit ribosomal RNA
Source: RNAcentral
CGACACAAGUAUUAAAGGUCCUGCCUGCCCAGUGAAACAUUUUUUAACGGCCGCGGUAUUCUAACCGUGCAAAGGUAGCGUAAUCACUUGUCUUCUAAAUAAAGACCAGUAUGAAUGGCUAAAUGAGGAUAAACCUGUCUCCUACAGCCCAUCAGUGAAACUGAUCUUUCAGUCCAAAAGCUGGAAUAUUAACACAAGACGAGAAGACCCUGUGGAGCUUAAAACAAACCCACUAACAAGCGGCUCUCCCCGCACACCUGGUGGGGCUUUUAAGUUGGGGCGACUUCGGAACAAAAUAAAACUUCCAAGCACAGAACCACUCCUUCUAACUGAGGCAAACAGGCCAAAGCAAGCACAGAUCCAGUCACACUGACCAACGAACCAAGUUACCCCAGGGAUAACAGCGCUAUCUUCUUCAAGAGUCCAUAUCGACAAGAAGGUUUACGACCUCGAUGUUGGAUCAGGGCACCCAAAUGGUGCAGCCGCUAUUAAAGGUUCGUUUGUUCAACGAU